This 2800-nucleotide long non-coding RNA is filed under the name Volvox carteri. RNAcentral describes it as "long non-coding RNA (VCAR_LNC001696)". Lineage: Eukaryota; Viridiplantae; Chlorophyta; Chlorophyceae; Chlamydomonadales; Volvocaceae. The record is from RNAcentral.
CGCCGCCUGUUUACCAUCGCACCCAUUGGGUACGAUGGUAGCCGUGCCACACAUCCGCCUGUUUACCAUCGCACCCAUUGGGUACGAUGGUAGCCGUGCCACACAUCCGCCUGUUUACCAUCGCCGCCUGUUUACCAUCGCACCCAUUGGGUACGAUGGUAGCCGUGCCACACAUCCGCCUGUUUACCAUCGCACCCAUUGGGUACGAUGGUAGCCGCGCCACACAUCCGCCUGUUUACCAUCGCCGCCUUGUUUACCAUCGCACCCAUUGGGUACGAUGGUAGCCGUGCCACACAUCCGCCUGUUUACCAUCGCACCCAUUGGGUACGAUGGUAGCCGCGCCACACAUCCGCCUGUUUACCAUCGCACCCAUUGGGUGCGAUGGUAGCCGUGCCACACAUCCGCCUGUUUACCAUCGCCGCCUGUUUACCAUCGCACCCAUUGGGUACGAUGGUAGCCGCGCCACACAUCCGCCUUUUUACCAUCGCACCCAUUGGGUACGAUGGUAGCCGUGCCACACAUCCGCCUGUUUACCAUCGCCGCCAUGAUACAUCGCACNNNNNNNNNNNNNNNNNNNNNNNNNNNNNNNNNNNNNNNNNNNNNNNNNNAAUGGAACUACGGAUGCAGGCCGCCCCCGGAUGCCAACAGCCAGUUUGCGCGGACAGCUCAACAAGCCCUAACGGGCUGGCUUCGAAUGGCAACCACGCACCUCCUGAAGGUGCCGGGGGCUUGCUGGAGCAACUACGGGACACGAUUCGACGGGUCGGUAGCCAAAUACGGCAGGCGCUAACAACAGAACGCCGGAAAAGCAUAACCACAGCGCGCCGCCGAACCCAGCAUCUGAUCGCCACACGCCCUCGACGGGCCCACCAAGGCAUCUUCAGCAAGGAUGAACUCGAACGCGGCCUACCUGCGGUGAAACACCCGGUCUCCGGUAAAAUAUGCACGGAACCCGAAUCCAUCCUUGAAGCAGUCCACCAGUACUUCCAGACGCAGGCCGCCCCCAUUGGCCCCCCGAAGACCGGACGGUACCGACCCGAGGAAACCCCUCGAGCGUACCCAUUUCUGCAGAGUGCCGCCCCAGACACGUUCUCCCUUACCAGCCCGAAACAGGCCGCGGACCACGUCCUGCUUAGCAGCGUCGCCGACCCUGUUAACUUUAACAAGUGUGUCCAACACCUGGCCCGCAAUAAAACACCGGGGCCCGAUGGGAUACCUAACGAGCUAUUGAGAGCAUUGCCCACUGCCUUACAGUCCACCAUCCACGACCUCCUGAAAGUCAUGUGGGCCCAGGCCCGCACGCCAAAGCAAUGGACUGAAUCCGUUACGGUCCUUCUACCAAAAGCAGGAGAUGCGCUCCUCCUGAACAACAAGCGACCCAUUGCCCUCGCCAACACUCUUUAUAAGUUAUGGACUAGCCUCGUCACAGUGUCCAUCGGGGACGUCGCUCCCGAACUCGCGUNNNNNNNNNNNNNNNNNNNNNNNNNNNNNNNNNNNNNNNNNNNNNNNNNNCAUCGCACCCAUUGGGUACGAUGGUAGCCAUGCCACACAUCCGCCUGUUUACCAUCGCACCCAUUGGGUACGAUGGUAGCCGUGCCACACAUCCGCCUGUUUACCAUCGCACCCAUUGGGUACGAUGGUAGCCGCGCCACACAUCCGCCUGUUUACCAUCGCCGCCUGUUUACCAUCACACCCAUUGGGUACGAUGGUAGCCGCGCCACACAUCCGCCUUUUUACCAUCGCACCCAUUGGGUACGAUGGUAGCCAUGCCACACAUCCGCCUGUUUACCAUCGCCGCCUGUUUACCAUCGCACCCAUUGGGUACGAUGGUAGCCGUGCCACACAUCCGCCUGUUUACCAUCGCACCCAUUGGGUACGAUGGUAGCCGUGCCACACAUCCGCCUGUUUACCAUCGCACCCAUUGGGUACGAUGGUAGCCGUGCCACACAUCCGCCUGUUUACCAUCGCACCCAUUGGGUACGAUGGUAGCCGUGCAACACAUCCGCCUGUUUACCAUCGCACCCAUUGGGUACGAUGGUAGCCGUGCCACACAUCCGCCUUUUUACCAUCGCACCCAUUGGAUACGAUGGUAGCCGUGCCACACAUCCGCCUGUUUACCAUCGCACCCAUUGGGUGCGAUGGUAGCCGUGCCACACAUCCGCCUAUUUACCAUCGCACCCAUUGGGUGCGAUGGUAGCCGCGCCACACAUCCGCCUUUUUACCAUCGCACCCAUUGGGUGCGAUGGUAGCCGUGCCACACAUCCGCCUGUUUACCAUCGCCGCCUGUUUACCAUCGCACCCAUUGGGUACGAUGGUAGCCGCGCCACACAUCCGCCUUUUUACCAUCGCACCCAUUGGGUACGAUGGUAGCCGUGCCACACAUCCGCCUGUUUACCAUCGCCGCCUGUUUACCAUCGCACCCAUUGGGUACGAUGGUAGCCGUGCCACACAUCCGCCUGUUUACCAUCGCACCCAUUGGGUACGAUGGUAGCCGUGCCACACAUCCGCCUGUUUACCGUCGCACCCAUGAUACAUACACACAUUUGUACGUGGGCACAUGAGCACACGGAUGGUGGGGCACACACAUUCACUCCAAAAAAAGAACGGAGGGAGGGAAGGCCAAGGGAGUGAAGGGGACAGCAGAGGGGAAGGCACAGGAUGGAUGAAGGGAGGGCACAUGGUAGGGGAAGGGAGGAUGUUGGGAGGGAGCGUUGAGGGAAGUGGGGGGGAUGAUGGAGGAAGGGUGGAGGAAGAGAGGGAAAUGGUAUUGUGGAGGGAUUAUUGAGGGAGGGUGGAGUGA